This 68-nucleotide ribosomal RNA is filed under the name Bacillus obstructivus. Its description in RNAcentral is "partial 16S ribosomal RNA". It matches the Rfam family "Bacterial small subunit ribosomal RNA", at positions 1 to 67 of the family's 1533-position model. Lineage: Bacteria; Bacillati; Bacillota; Bacilli; Caryophanales; Bacillaceae. The record is from RNAcentral.
CUUUUUGGAGAGUUUGAUCCUGGCUCAGGACGAACGCUGGCGGCGUGCCUAAUACAUGCAAGUCGAGC